This 170-nucleotide ribosomal RNA is filed under the name Ceratozamia morettii. RNAcentral describes it as "5.8S ribosomal RNA". It matches the Rfam family "5.8S ribosomal RNA". From Rfam's summary of the family: 5.8S ribosomal RNA (5.8S rRNA) is a component of the large subunit of the eukaryotic ribosome. It is transcribed by RNA polymerase I as part of the 45S precursor that also contains 18S and 28S rRNA. The record is from RNAcentral. RNAcentral also lists the same sequence under 1 other name. Lineage: Eukaryota; Viridiplantae; Streptophyta; Cycadopsida; Cycadales; Zamiaceae.
UGCGAGGAAGCACGACUCUCGGCAACGGAUAUCUCGGCCCUCACCACGAUGAAGAACGUAGCGAAAUGCGAUACAUAGUGUGAAUUGCAGAAUCCCGUGAAUCAUCAAGUCUUUGAACGCAAGUUGCGCCCGAGGCCUUGGCCAAGGGCACGUCUGCCUGGGUGUCGCAU